RNAcentral lists this ribosomal RNA (525 nucleotides) under uncultured Rhodobacterales bacterium. RNAcentral's name for it is "bacterial SSU rRNA". It matches the Rfam family "Bacterial small subunit ribosomal RNA", at positions 35 to 606 of the family's 1533-position model. The record is from RNAcentral. Lineage: Bacteria; Pseudomonadati; Pseudomonadota; Alphaproteobacteria; Rhodobacterales.
GCUGGCGGCAGGCUUAACACAUGCAAGUCGAGCGCCCUCUUCGGAGGGAGCGGCGGACGGGUUAGUAACGCGUGGGAACGUGCCUUUCGCUACGGAAUAGCCCAGGGAAACUUGGAUUAAUACCGUAUACGCCCUUUUGGGGAAAGAUUUAUCGGCGAGAGAUCGGCCCGCGUUGGAUUAGGUAGUUGGUGGGGUAAUGGCCUACCAAGCCGACGAUCCAUAGCUGGUUUGAGAGGAUGAUCAGCAACACUGGGACUGAGACACGGCCCAGACUCCUACGGGAGGCAGCAGUGGGGAAUCUUGGACAAUGGGGGCAACCCUGAUCCAGCCAUGCCGCGUGGACGAUGAAGGCCUUAGGGUUGUAAAGUCCUUUCGCUAGGGAAGAUAAUGACGGUACCUAGUAAAGAAGUCCCGGCUAACUCCGUACCAGCAGCCGCGGUAAUACGGAGGGGACUAGCGUUGUUCGGAAUUACUGGGCGUAAAGCGCACGUAGGCGGAUUGAUCAGUCAGGGGUGAAAUCCCGGG